AAGAGGGAUCCUCAGGCAGUUCGCUGACUUUGACUGAGAGGAGUCUUUGAUGGCGGGACCUUCUGCUAACAUGGGCGGUCGUCUUCUGAACAUUGUUGUCUUCCUCACACUGUUUGGGAACCUCUGUUUUGGUGAGUUACUUUCAGAUCUUUCUUGUUCAUUGGUUCCAAUUUCAGGAUUUGAAAAAAGGUGUAUGACUUCAUUUUUGACUAACAAUUUGCACUUCACUACCCUGUGGCUUACAUAAGUAUGCACCCCUUUCCGAAAAUGUUAUUAAAACAGAUGUUGUGUACACAUUGUUUAGAAGGUAAUAAGUGUCCUGUUUUGAUUUUCAGGUUUAUUUUGCUACCUCUGCUACCUUCAUGCAGACCCUUGCAGUUGUCUGCAAUACGUUUCGUGGCUACAUUUGUUUGGCUGAUGUUAGGAGGUGAUGCUCUUGCCCAAUUUGAAUUCCAACAAUGCUCUUUUAAUGCAAUUAAAUUCUGUUUUAUUACCUGCCAAGUUUGGUACCAGUGUGUACCGUAGAGGGUGCUAGCACAGUCAGGAUAAAGAACUUCGCUCAGAGAUGUAGGGAUCUGAGAUUCAAAUCGAUAACUACUAUCAAGAGUCCUGCCUUAACCAUCUCUGCCUUGUCUCAGUGGUUCUCUAAUCCAGUAACAAUAUAACAGAAUUUGAUCUAUUUCACCUUCAUGUAUAAUUUAUUGUAAUAGUCCUCCUAAUGUGGUCUAUUUUCCUUGCAGGUUUCGAAGUUUGUUCCGGGAGACCUGCGGCAUUAGAGUUUAAUGUAUCUGGCCCUGUGGAGGGACUUAUCAGUAUUUACCAUGACACUGAAAAGUUACCGGUGUAUUCUAACAAAUCUGUGCCCCAGGAAUGCCCUGCAAAAAUGCUGGAAAGCAAAUUGUUGUGCUGGUCUUCGUUUGGCAGGACCUUGCUUUUUUACAGAUCGAAUGUCUCGGAGGGCGACCGAGGCCGAUAUGAUCUGGAAUAUGACACCCUGCACAGGAGAGGACAGAGUUCCACCAAUAAACUGACUGUGCUGAAAAAUUGUACCUCACAAAGGACCACCACUCUUCCGGCUACAACUUACCCCCAUCUACCUCCCCAAGGAAAUGAAUAUGGUGUGGUGGCAGUAGCUGUUAUACUCGGUGUAUGUGCUAUAUUUGGAAUCUCUGCAUUCGUGUAA
RNAcentral lists this long non-coding RNA (1183 nucleotides) under Lepisosteus oculatus (spotted gar). RNAcentral describes it as "lncRNA (ENSLOCG00000021342.1)". The record is from RNAcentral. Lineage: Eukaryota; Metazoa; Chordata; Actinopteri; Semionotiformes; Lepisosteidae.